UUCCCUUUUGAGGGGGUAUUUAGUGUUUGGAAAUGGAUUAUCUUCGGAUGUGUGAUGUUUCUUAUUAAUAGUUGUUGAUUCUAUUGUAACCUGCAUUUUAAAGUUCCAGGAACACUAAGUUGGAACAUGUGAAUGAAGGAUAGUUCCUGCUUUGGAAAAAAGCUAAGUGCUAGAACCUUGUCUAUGUUCACUUGCUCUGAGAGCACAGGCAAACCUGGUACUUUGCUCAAAGGUACCUACUUCUGCAUUCAGGAAUAAGCAUCGAUUUAUGCCCUCUCUUGACAUGUGGUUUCUCUUUUUCUACAUUAAAACUUGGCUUCAUAAAACACCCUGAAGAGUACUUGUCCUCUGCAUUCCUUCUUCAGUCCAUUCCCAGUUGCUUUAGUAACAGAAAACCUGUCAGAGGAGUCCUCACCAACACAACCAUAUCCCCUUUAUUCUAUUUUUUCAGAAACUGUGAAGAUGACAAGGAAAGUUUAUAAAGCAGUCUAGGCAUCCUGAUAAGUUAAAGGAAGAGCAACUGGUAUCUCUAUGACAGAUAUUUAUGAACACAGGGUGAUGGAUUGGAUCAUAAGGAGUUUCUUUCUUUUUCCUUCUCCAGGAAGCUUUAGGGGAAUUUACAUUUACAGUUUGAUCAAAAGGAACUUCGCUGUCAUCUUUUCAAAAAUGGACAAAAUACUAUAGAUGUUCUAGUUCUUAUUUAUUUUACCAAUCUCUAUGUAUAUGCUAUCAACUAUUCAUUAUACACACAGCUUAGAUUUACUUGUUAACUAAAAUUGUUCCAAAUACAGGGAAAAACAUAUCCCAGGUGGGCUAUUGUUUCUGUUUGAGACAUGCUAUUGUCUUUUCCAGCUGAUGUCCCUGUCAAAAGCUCGGUGUUACUCACUUCAUACAAAGUUGACUACUUAGAUGUAUAUAGAUAGUCCUCUUUCUUUAAUGAGUAGAUUUUUUUUUUCUUUUUUAAAACAUAUUUGGUAGAGGAGGAGAGAAUUUUAUGUGGAAAGGAUUUAAUCCCUUUGGUCUUGUUUACCCUGUAUUAGUUAGAAGAUGCUGAAUGAGUUUACAAAGCUGAUCUGGCUUUCAGUAUUACAUUGCUCAGAUGGCAACUGUGUCACUACUUAAAGGAUUGAGAUGUUGGUCUUUGAAGCCUUUCUCCUAGACAUUAAAGGGAACUAUCUUAUUUUCUGGAUCCAGUGGACAACCAGUCUGUUUUACUUAUACAUUUAACUUUUUUAAAAUAAUGUGGUUUAUUACCUCAACACUUAAAAAGUAAAGUAAAACUCACAAGGACAUUUAAUUAAACUUCAG
RNAcentral lists this long non-coding RNA (1308 nucleotides) under Cyanistes caeruleus (blue tit). Its description in RNAcentral is "lncRNA (ENSCCEG00000012752.1)". Lineage: Eukaryota; Metazoa; Chordata; Aves; Passeriformes; Paridae. The record is from RNAcentral.